This 492-nucleotide ribosomal RNA is filed under the name uncultured bacterium. RNAcentral's name for it is "partial 16S ribosomal RNA". It matches the Rfam family "Bacterial small subunit ribosomal RNA", at positions 29 to 507 of the family's 1533-position model. The record is from RNAcentral.
AGUGAACGCUGGCGGUAGGCCUAACACAUGCAAGUCGAACGGCAGCACAGUAAGAGCUUGCUCUUACGGGUGGCGAGUGGCGGACGGGUGAGGAAUACAUCGGAAUCUACUUUUUCGUGGGGGAUAACGUAGGGAAACUUACGCUAAUACCGCAUACGACCUACGGGUGAAAGCAGGGGAUCUUCGGACCUUGCGCGAUUGAAUGAGCCGAUGUCGGAUUAGCUAGUUGGCGGGGUAAAGGCCCACCACGGCGACGAUCCGUAGCUGGUCUGAGAGGAUGAUCAGACACACUGGAACUGAGACACGGUCCAGACUCCUACGGGAGGCAGCAGUGGGGAAUAUUGGACAAUGGGCGCAAGCCUGAUCCAGCCAUACCGCGUGAGUGAAGAAGGCCUUCGGGUUGUAAAGCCCUUUUGUUGGGAAAGAAAAGCAGCAGGUUAAUACCCCGCUGUUCUGACGGUACCCAAAGAAUAAGCACCGGCUAACUUCGUG